AUUCAGGAUUGUCUGGCCUGGAGUUUUGAGUAUAUUCACCAAUGUAAGCAAUCCAAGCGUCCAAUUGUAAUCCUUAAGUUGGACUUUGCUAAGGCCUUUGACACAGUUGAGCAUGAGGUUAUUCUUCAGAUGUUGCAGCAUAAAGGAUUUGAUGCCAAAUGGAUUCUUUGGGUUAAACAGCUGUUGUCUACAGGUUCUUCGUCUGUGCUGUUAAAUGGCAUUCCUGGAAAGCAAUUCUUGUGUAAGUGUGGUGUCAGGCAGGGUGAUCCACUCUCUCCUCUGUUGUUCGUCAUCGCAGCCGAUCUGUUGCAAUCUGUGGUCAAUCAAAUGCUGGCGUCUGGCACACUCUCUUUGCCUCUUCAGACCCAUGAUAGGGAUUUUCCCAUCAUCCAAUAUGCAGAUGACACGAUCCUAUUUCUUGCGGCUAAGGAUGAUGAGCUUGUUGCCCUCAAGAAUAUGCUGCUUACAUUUCAACAAUCCACUGGUUUAAAGGUCAACUUUGCUAAAUCCUCAAUGAUCCCACUCAAUAUGACUACCGAG
This 540-nucleotide ribosomal RNA is filed under the name Triticum aestivum (bread wheat). RNAcentral's name for it is "partial small subunit ribosomal RNA". The record is from RNAcentral. Lineage: Eukaryota; Viridiplantae; Streptophyta; Magnoliopsida; Poales; Poaceae.